Molecule: ribosomal RNA, 539 nt
Filed under: uncultured bacterium
Lineage: Bacteria
Description: bacterial SSU rRNA
Rfam family: Bacterial small subunit ribosomal RNA
Source: RNAcentral
GAACGGAGAAUUGCUAGCUUGCUAAUAAUUCUCUAGUGGCGCACGGGUGAGUAACACGUGAGUACCUGCCCCCAAGAGUGGGAUAGCCCCGGGAAACUGGGAUUAAUACCGCAUAAAGCAAUAAAGCAGCAAUGCGCUUGGGGAUGGGCUCGCGUCCUAUUAGUUAGUUGGUGAGGUAACGGCUCACCAAGGCGAUGACGGGUAGCCGGUCUGAGAGGAUGUCCGGCCACACUGGAACUGAGACACGGUCCAGACACCUACGGGUGGCAGCAGUCGAGAAUCAUUCACAAUGGGGGAAACCCUGAUGGUGCGACGCCGCGUGGGGGAUAAGGUCUUCGGAUUGUAAACCCCUGUCAUGUGGGACAUUAAAAAGAUAGUACCACAAGAGGAAGAGACGGCUAACUCUGUGCCAGCAGCCGCGGUAAUACAGAGGUCUCAAGCGUUGUUCGGAAUCACUGGGCGUAAAGCGUGCGUAGGCGGUUUCGUAAGUCGUGUGUGAGAGGCGGGGGCUCAACCCCCGGACUGCACAUGAUACUGCG